Molecule: ribosomal RNA, 425 nt
Filed under: uncultured bacterium
Lineage: Bacteria
Description: bacterial SSU rRNA
Rfam family: Bacterial small subunit ribosomal RNA
Source: RNAcentral
GUGGGGAAUCUUGCGCAAUGGGCGAAAGCCUGACGCAGCCAUGCCGCGUGAAUGAUGAAGGUCUUAGGAUUGUAAAAUUCUUUCACCGGGGAAGAUAAUGACGGUACCCGGAGAAGAAGCUCCGGCUAACUUCGUGCCAGCAGCCGCGGUAAUACGAAGGGGGCUAGCGUUGCUCGGAAUUACUGGGCGUAAAGGGCGCGUAGGCGGACAGCUUAGUCAGAGGUGAAAGCCCAGGGCUCAACCUUGGAAUUGCCUUUGAUACUGGCUGUCUUGAGUUUGGGAGAGGUGAGUGGAACUCCGAGUGUAGAGGUGAUAUUCGUAGAUAUUCGGAAGAACACCAGUGGCGAAGGCGACUCACUGGCCCAAUACUGACGCUGAGGCGCGAAAGCGUGGGGAGCAAACAGGAUUAGAAACCCCUGUAGUCC